RNAcentral lists this unclassified non-coding RNA (274 nucleotides) under Trichothecium crotocinigenum. RNAcentral's name for it is "sequence contains 5.8S rRNA gene". The stretch from base 1 to 53 matches the Rfam family "5.8S ribosomal RNA", at positions 102 to 154 of the family's 154-position model. Lineage: Eukaryota; Fungi; Ascomycota; Sordariomycetes; Hypocreales. The record is from RNAcentral.
GAACGCACAUUGCGCCCGCCAGUAUUCUGGCGGGCAUGCCUGUCCGAGCGUCAUUUCAACCCUCGGGCCCCCCUCUGCGGGCGGCCCGGCGUUGGGGCUCAGGCGCCGUCUCUGCUCGGCGCCUGUCCCCUAAAUGCAGUGGCGGCCUCGCCGCUGCCUCCUCCGCGUAGUAGCACAAACCUCGCGGCUGGAAGGCGGCGCGGCCACGCCGUAAAACCCCCCAACUUUACCAAGGUUGACCUCGGAUCAGGUAGGAAUACCCGCUGAACUUAAG